Molecule: long non-coding RNA, 1088 nt
Filed under: Piliocolobus tephrosceles (Ugandan red Colobus)
Lineage: Eukaryota; Metazoa; Chordata; Mammalia; Primates; Cercopithecidae
Description: lncRNA (ENSPTEG00000012245.1)
Source: RNAcentral
AAAAAAAUAUGCACAAAAUAAUAUAUAUAAUAUGUUUAUAAAAAGACAAAAAAAAAAAAAUUAAUCUAGUUUAAAGAAAUUCAAUUUAUUUUACCACUGUUUGUAGCUUAUAUCUAUUCUUGUUCUUCAACAAAAAAAAAAAUAUAUAUAUAUUACUUUAUCUCAUUAUCGUGUUUAAUAUUUUAUUUAUUAAGAGGUAUUAAUAUUAUAUAGUGUAAAAAAAAAAAAAAAAAAAAAAUUAUAAAAAAACGUAUAUUUUAUAUAUAUAAAUUUAUUUUGUUUUAGUUGUAAUUUUUAUAUAUAAUCAUUCAUUAAAUUCUUGUUAAUUUUACAGAUUUCUAAUUUAUAAAAAAAAAAAUUAUUUAUGCUAACAUAAGUGCAUAAAUUCAUGUGUAUAAAAAAACUCUUUUAUAUACAUAUUUUUUUUUUUUUUGUUUUUUUGUUUUUUUUUCGAUCCUAUUAGGAUAUUUAACAUAUUGACGCUUGUCUUUUGACAUUUAACACGUUUGAUAUUUUCAUUUUUCAUAUUUCCCAUUUAUAUACGCUCACGCACUUGUAUAUAUAAUUUAAUUUAAUUUAAUUUAAUUUUUAUUACAUCAUUUAAUACAAUGGGACAAACAAUAUCAAAACAGGAAGAAAUCGAAAAACAAAGUAUUUAUGCGAGUUAUCCAGGUCUUGAACAACAAUUGGAUAUGGUUUUUGCAUGCCAUGAUGUAGCAAAUGAAGGGAAGUUACCAUACAAAACUGUGGAAAUGAUAUUAAGACACUUUUUAAUGCAAUUCGGAUAUAUGGAGUAUGUCUGUAGAUUUGUUAACGAAGAUGGUCAAUUGGAUUUGAAACAUGUUGAGGAAUACAUAACAAAUAAGAAAUUAUUGUACAGUAUAAAAUAUAGUUGUGAUUGUAAUCUUAAUGUUGAUGAAAUGAAAAUUUUAGUAUUAACCUUUUUAAAAAAAAUAGCUGACACUUAUGUAGAAGAUCAAGCUAUUUGGACAGAAAAGAUGAAAACUUCACAAGAAGAACAAGGAAAAGCUUUAAAAGAAGCAAUGAAUAAAUAUGAAAAAGACAUGUUAUUUAAUCAUUGUUUAAAA